GGUAAGUACAAAGGUAAUGUAAAACUGAAUAUUACAAGUACAGUGAAAUAUUAGCACAUGCAAGCACUGCUACCUUUCUCAGGGGGGUGUGCAGACCUGUUGUCUCAUAGAUUUGUUCAUCAUGUAUGCUGAAUGCGGUUCUUGGAAGAGAUCUGAAAAUAACGUACUCAAUAUGACAUCAGAUUAAAAAAAAAAAAAACAGCUGGACCAUCUGGUCUUUCCAUUAAU
Pelobates cultripes (western spadefoot toad) is the source of this 228-nucleotide non-coding RNA. The record is from the annotation of a GenBank genome assembly. Lineage: Eukaryota; Metazoa; Chordata; Amphibia; Anura; Pelobatidae.